Long non-coding RNA from Talpa occidentalis (Iberian mole), 214 nucleotides. RefSeq lists it as uncharacterized. NCBI's taxonomy places the organism in Eukaryota, Metazoa, Chordata, Mammalia, Eulipotyphla, Talpidae. The record is from RefSeq and is a predicted model, not a curated record. The transcript is spliced from 3 exons.
AGGAAAACUGGAGUCAAGGCCCAGGUCUGGAAGUUCCAGGCUGCCUGCAGGGCAACAGAGUCAGUGAGUACAGGAGAAGCUGGGGAACCUUGCCGGGCCAUUUGGGAGGAGACACCCAAGCAAGAUUCAACAAACAACCGAACGAGUGACCCUGCUCGCCACUCACAACUGUGAAGUCUUCGGUUUAUAGCUUGGUGAAAUGAGAAGGUGCGGG